This 226-nucleotide unclassified non-coding RNA is filed under the name plant metagenome. Its description in RNAcentral is "partial contains small subunit ribosomal RNA and internal transcribed spacer 1". The stretch from base 1 to 46 matches the Rfam family "Eukaryotic small subunit ribosomal RNA", at positions 1786 to 1831 of the family's 1831-position model. The record is from RNAcentral.
AAGUCGUAACAAGGUCUCCGUAGGUGAACCUGCGGAGGGAUCAUUACACAAAUAUGAAGUCAGAUUGGGCCCGCCCCUUCGGGUAAGGGCCAGCUCUGACGCCAUAUUCACCCAUGUCUUUUGCGUACUACUUGUUUCCUUGGCGGGUUCGCCCGCCAAUUGGACAUCAUUAAACCUUUUUUUGUAGUUGCAAUCAGCGUCAGCAAAACAAUGUAAUAAAUUACAA